This is an RNA transcript of Lathyrus oleraceus (garden pea), 1592 nucleotides long. It is a transcript of the gene named S-protein homolog 19, with no coding region annotated. The record is from RefSeq and is a predicted model, not a curated record. Lineage: Eukaryota; Viridiplantae; Streptophyta; Magnoliopsida; Fabales; Fabaceae. The transcript has 5 exons.
CUCCAAAAUCAUCUGACCCACGUGUGUUCUAUUUUCCACUGAGAUGUUUCUUUGAAUCUCCGAAACCUUAUUUUUCAUAUCUUUGUCCUUUAACAUAUGUAGUUGUCGCUCUGCCUUCAAUGUCUGCGUAUCAUUUCCUACCUCUUUAUCGCGUCUAACCUUCAUCUUACCUUAGUCAUUGUAACUCUCAUGAUGUUACUUAAUCUCCUCUGCCCCUCGAUCAUGAUUUACCAACUCAAUAAUUGCUUUACAUUAGGAGUAAACUCGCACAUUAUUUGGUUUCAUCUUGAUAGCAAGCUGAAGAGCAUGAAUGAUCGCUUGACCAUCUAAUGCCAUGGGGUUACUAAAGCCUCUUCGCUUCCAAGUCCCAUCCGCCAGAUUAUCUUGUUAUUCAAGGUAGCUUGAUCAUUAGCUUCAGAGUUGUCGAAGAUAUUGAUACUCUCUUGGUUGCCUUGCUUGUGAUUUUGGAAUUGCUUUGUCCAAGUCUACUGAUCUUGAUUAACCUUAUUCAUAGGGUUUAUCCCAUUGAUUAUUGUGGGGGUGCUUGGUACUUUCCUGAUCAUCUUGUUUUGUCAUAUUUGUGUUGUUAUGCUUAGGGUACUUAGCCUUCUCUUGAGUGAUUUUUUUUCAUGACUUUAAUUUGUGGUCUUGUUAUUGUCAACAACCAUAUUAUUCAUGUGCUUACUGUCUACGACCUUUUGACUAUAAUUGUACUUAUUCUCCACGAGGUAAUAAUUCUUCUUUGACCAUCUUCCUUCAAUUUUUUUGUUAUCAUUCCCAAUGUUUCUCUGAUAAUGAUGUUUAUCAGGAUUCCAAUCAGGGGUUUGAUACAUGUUUCCCUUACCCUUCCUGUGGUAAUUGCUUUUCUCCCAGUGAUACUUAUCUUUGUCCUUAUUUCUCUUGCAGUGAAUAAUUUAAUUUUGGAAAUAAUCCUCUUUAUCUUUGACAUAACAAUUCUCGAAAUUUCCUCGUUGGUGCUUGGAACACUCUCAAUUUUCCAUUCUUCCCUUCUGAUAACGUGAUCUCCCCCACAUUGAAAAGCUCCAGUUCCAUGAUGGUGAAAGUAGUAUCUUCGAAAAGGAGAAAGUAACUGUUUAUGUUGUGAACAACAUAACCAAUGUGAAACUAGGUGUUCGUUGCAAAGACAAAAACAAUGAUGCUGGGUAUCAAGAACUAGAUUUUAAUCAAAGUUAUGCCUUCACUUUUAGGCCUAUGGCUAUUAUAGAGAAAAGCCUAUGGUUUUGUAGGUUUACAUGGCCUAAUGAAUUUUACUACUUUGAUAUUUAUAAAGAAGCACGAGAUGAGGAUACUUGCAACACAGAAUGUCAUUGGGAGAUAAAUAAAUCAGGACCAUGUAGAGUUAAUGGUUAUAACCUAGAUUGUUAUCCUUGGAAUAAAAAGGUUGUUGUACAAAAGGGACAAGAUGAAAUAAAUAAUCCCCUUAUUGUGUAACUAUAGGUUCAUGUAUUUUUCCUUGAAAUUUAUGUAGAUUGAAGAAUGAGAUAUUGAAAUAAUGCUGUUAUAGUUAAUAAUCAUAUGUCGAUCAUUAUGCAUUAUGCAUUAUGAGUUUGAUCUUCAUUUCUUAUUCGAAA